AGAGUUUGAUCCUGGCUCAGGACGAACGCUGGCGGCGUGCCUAACACAUGCAAGUCGAGCGGGGACACUUGAAAAGGUGUUCUAGCGGCGGACGGGUGAGUAACGCGUGAGCAAUCUAACUUUAACAGUGGAAUAACAGCUCGAAAGAGAUGCUAAUACCGCAUAAGACCACGACAUCACAUGGUGUUGAGGUCAAAGGAGGAAUCCGGUGAAAGAAGAGCUCGCGUCCCAUUAGAUAGUUGGCGGUGUAACGGACCACCAAGUCGACGAUGGGUAGCCGGCCUGAGAGGGCGAACGGCCACACUGGGACUGAGACACGGCCCAGACUCCUACGGGAGGCAGCAGUGGGGAAUAUUGGACAAUGGGCGAAAGCCUGAUCCAGCAACGCCGCGUGAGGGAAGAAGGUUCUCGGAUUGUAAACCUCUGUCCCAUGGGAAGAAGGAAGUGACGGUACCAUGGGAGGAAGCCCCGGCUAACUACGUGCCAGCAGCCGCGGUAAUACGUAAGGGGCGAGCGUUGUCCGGAAUGACUGGGCGUAAAGGGCGCUUAGGUGGCUGAUCAAGUCUC
RNAcentral lists this ribosomal RNA (567 nucleotides) under uncultured bacterium. RNAcentral describes it as "bacterial SSU rRNA". It matches the Rfam family "Bacterial small subunit ribosomal RNA", at positions 8 to 591 of the family's 1533-position model. The record is from RNAcentral.